RNAcentral lists this long non-coding RNA (257 nucleotides) under Nicotiana benthamiana. RNAcentral's name for it is "long non-coding RNA (NBEN_LNC022732)". The record is from RNAcentral. Lineage: Eukaryota; Viridiplantae; Streptophyta; Magnoliopsida; Solanales; Solanaceae.
CGGAAAACAAUAUGGACUAUGCACGCAUAUAAAAAAAUAUCAAAUGAAGCUAAUAGAGGUUUUGAAACACGAAAAUAAGUGCUAGUACUCAAAACAACAUAUCAGGUCGUCACACCUUCACUUCAUUCUUUCUCUUUCUGAAGAUUCAAUGGAAAGAUCCCUCAAUCAAUGCAUUUAACUCCAUUAACUAGCGACAGCCGCCACCACCUUCCUCAAUCAUAACUACAAUAAACACUAGCUACUACCCAGAACCAUCG